GAUAGUACCUUACUACUUGGAUAACCGUGGUAAUUCUAGAGCUAAUACAUGCUAAAAACCCCGACUUCGGAAGGGGUGUAUUUAUUAGAUAAAAAACCAACGCCCUUCGGGGCUUCUUGGUGAUUCAUGAUAACUUUACGGAUCGCAUGGCCUUGCGCCGGCGACGGUUCAUUCAAAUUUCUGCCCUAUCAACUUUCGAUGGUAAGGUAUUGGCUUACCAUGGUUUCAACGGGUAACGGGGAAUUAGGGUUCGAUUCCGGAGAGGGAGCCUGAGAAACGGCUACCACAUCCAAGGAAGGCAGCAGGCGCGCAAAUUACCCAAUCCCGACACGGGGAGGUAGUGACAAUAAAUACUGAUACAGGGCUCUUUUGGGUCUUGUAAUUGGAAUGAGUACAAUUUAAACCUCUUAACGAGGAACAAUUGGAGGGCAAGUCUGGUGCCAGCAGCCGCGGUAAUUCCAGCUCCAAUAGCGUAUAUUAAAGUUGUUGCAGUUAAAAAGCUCGUAGUUGAAACUUGGGUCUGGCUGGCAGGUCCGCCUCACCGCGUGUACUUGUCCGGCCGGGCCUUCCUUCUGGAGAACCUCAUGCCCUUCACUGGGCGUGUUGGGGACCAGGACUUUUACUUUGAAAAAAUUAGAGUGUUCAAAGCAGGCCUUUGCUCGAAUACGUUAGCAUGGAAUAAUAGAAUAGGACGUGCGGUCCUAUUUUGUUGGUUUCUAGGACCGCCGUAAUGAUUAAUAGGGACAGUCGGGGGCAUCAGUAUUCAAUUGUCAGAGGUGAAAUUCUUGGAUUUAUUGAAGACUAACUACUGCGAAAGCAUUUGCCAAGGAUGUUUUCAUUAAUCAGUGAACGAAAGUUAGGGGAUCGAAGACGAUCAGAUACCGUCGUAGUCUUAACCGUAAACUAUGCCGACUAGGGAUCGGGCGAUGUUCUUUUUCUGACUCGCUC
RNAcentral lists this ribosomal RNA (948 nucleotides) under Plenodomus tracheiphilus. RNAcentral's name for it is "SSU rRNA". It matches the Rfam family "Eukaryotic small subunit ribosomal RNA", at positions 123 to 1081 of the family's 1831-position model. Lineage: Eukaryota; Fungi; Ascomycota; Dothideomycetes; Pleosporales; Leptosphaeriaceae. The record is from RNAcentral. RNAcentral also lists the same sequence under 1 other name.